This is a non-coding RNA of Caenorhabditis elegans, 449 nucleotides long. NCBI's taxonomy places the organism in Eukaryota, Metazoa, Nematoda, Chromadorea, Rhabditida, Rhabditidae. The record is from Ensembl.
UUGCAAAAGGUAGGCCGCCUGGUCCACCGUACCUGUCAUGAUGGCAGAGGUCUGGGAAAGCUAGGCCACCUGUCUGAGCUGAUGGUCUAAGGUCUAAAGUUUACCAAAAACUCUUCCACCGAAACUUCUAGGGCGACCAAGGCUUGCAGAAGCUAGGCCACCAGACUUGGCUGGUGGCCUAGAAUUUUCAAGAACUCUUCCAUCGUAAAUUAUUAGAAAGCCGCGAUAGGAAAAAGCUAGGCCAUCAAAUUACCUUAGUGGCCCAGAAUCUAUAAAAACUCUCCCAUCGUACUUGCAAGGACGGCUGAGCUUGGAGGAAGCUAGGCCACCAGAAUAGGCCAGUGGCCUAGAAUCAACAAAAACUCUUCCACCGUACCUCCUACAAUGGCCGAGGUAGGGAAAGAUGGGCGCCAGGCUAAUCUAACUUUCCUAGACUGACCUAAAUGGGA